Molecule: transfer RNA, 88 nt
Filed under: Deltaproteobacteria bacterium
Lineage: Bacteria; Pseudomonadati; Myxococcota; Myxococcia
Description: tRNA-Ser
Rfam family: tRNA
About the family: Transfer RNA (tRNA) molecules are approximately 80 nucleotides in length. Their secondary structure includes four short double-helical elements and three loops (D, anti-codon, and T loops). Further hydrogen bonds mediate the characteristic L-shaped molecular structure. tRNAs have two regions of fundamental functional importance: the anti-codon, which is responsible for specific mRNA codon recognition, and the 3' end, to which the tRNAs corresponding amino acid is attached (by aminoacyl-tRNA synthetases). tRNAs cope with the degeneracy of the genetic code in two manners: having more than one tRNA (with a specific anti-codon) for a particular amino acid; and 'wobble' base-pairing, i.e. permitting non-standard base-pairing at the 3rd anti-codon position.
Source: RNAcentral
GGAGGGAUGACCGAGUGGCCGAAGGUGCACGAUUGGAAAUCGUGUGUACUGAAAGGUACCGAGGGUUCGAAUCCCUCUCCCUCCGCCG